UCAAACUGAUCGGAAUAGUUAAGCAGUUGCGUCAACUAAAUUGUAGAUUAUUAUAUUGAAGCUUUACUCGCCUAAACGCAGAUUCAGAUACGCGACCACAGAAACAUAUAAGCUAACGAACUUCACUUAAUUUUGAACCUUCUUCAGCAAAUUUAUUGACAAAAAACGAUUGAAGAUAUUAUCUGAUACGAACCCCCCUGAAAGCCAAUAGUCGUGUGAUGUACCGGUUCACUUUGGAGGGGUAUGCAUAUGGCAUCUCAAAACCACUCGACAUUGGCUGGGUGGGGUAUCUUUAUACAAGUCAACCUGAGCCAAUUCAGGAUGCAUGCAUAGAUAGAAACGACAUUGAUGGUAUGAAAGUGGGAACAUCAAUAGGAGCAGAUGGCAAUUUGGUUCUAUGGUUUGGACCGAUAAACCGAUACUGCAAUGCAUUCGUUCUCUACUAUCAGGGACAUUGUCAAAAUGCCAUGGAAGGGACAAAAACCAGCGAGUA
Symsagittifera roscoffensis is the source of this 493-nucleotide long non-coding RNA. RefSeq lists it as uncharacterized. NCBI's taxonomy places the organism in Eukaryota, Metazoa, Xenacoelomorpha, Acoela, Convolutidae. The record is from RefSeq and is a predicted model, not a curated record. The transcript is spliced from 4 exons.